GGUCUUGUCACAAUAGAGGCCAUCUGGGAUGAUGGUCGGGGAAAUUUUGACUGCCACUGGAAAAUGAUGGUAUAUUGGAUAGGGACAGAAAUUUUGCCUUGCAACAGGCCACCUACGGACCCCUCAAAGAGUUGUUGCAAGGGUUCUUAACGUGCAAAGAACGUGGCACUCUCUUUACACGAGACAUCGGAUUUAACGUCCCCAUUCCGACCGGGCGUGACUGCGAACUUGAAACAUCCCGCACAGCCAAACGGACGCCCCACUU
Molecule: long non-coding RNA, 265 nt
Filed under: Mytilus galloprovincialis (Mediterranean mussel)
Lineage: Eukaryota; Metazoa; Mollusca; Bivalvia; Mytilida; Mytilidae
Source: RNAcentral